AGUGAACGCUGGCGGUAGGCCUAACACAUGCAAGUCGAACGGCAGCACAGUAAGAGCUUGCUCUUACGGGUGGCGAGUGGCGGACGGGUGUGGAAUACAUCGGAAUCUACUUUUUCGUGGGGGAUAACGUAGGGAAACUUACGCUAAUACCGCAUACGACCUACGGGUGAAAGCAGGGGAUCUUCGGACCUUGCGCGAUUGAAUGAGCCGAUGUCGGAUUAGCUAGUUGGCGGGGUAAAGGCCCACCAAGGCGACGAUCCGUAGCUGGUCUGAGAGGAUGAUCAGCCACACUGGAACUGAGACACGGUCCAGACUCCUACGGGAGGCAGCAGUGGGGAAUAUUGGACAAUGGGCGCAAGCCUGAUCCAGCCAUACCGCGUGGGUGAAGAAGGCCUUCGGGUUGUAAAGCCCUUUUGUUGGGAAAGAAAAGCAGCAGGUUAAUACCCCGCUGUUCUGACGGUACCCAAAGAAUAAGCACCGGCUAACUUCGU
This 491-nucleotide ribosomal RNA is filed under the name uncultured bacterium. RNAcentral's name for it is "partial 16S ribosomal RNA". It matches the Rfam family "Bacterial small subunit ribosomal RNA", at positions 29 to 506 of the family's 1533-position model. The record is from RNAcentral.